AGCGCAGGCGGGAAGGUAAGUCUAUCUUAAAAGUGCGGGGCUCAACCCCGUGAGGGCAUAGAAACUAUUUUUCUUGAGUGCAGGAGAGGAAAGCGGAAUUCCUAGUGUAGCGGUGAAAUGCGUAGAUAUUAGGAGGAACACCAGUGGCGAAGGCGGCUUUCUGGACUGUAACUGACGCUGAGGCUCGAAAGCCAGGGGAGCGAACG
Molecule: ribosomal RNA, 206 nt
Filed under: uncultured bacterium
Lineage: Bacteria
Description: partial 16S ribosomal RNA
Rfam family: Bacterial small subunit ribosomal RNA
Source: RNAcentral